CCUACGGGAGGCAGCAGUAGGGAAUCUUCCACAAUGGACGAAAGUCUGAUGGAGCAACGCCGCGUGAGCGAUGAAGGCCUUCGGGUCGUAAAGCUCUGUUGUUAGGGAAGAACAAGUACCCGGAGGUAACUGCCGGUACCUUGACGGUACCUAACCAGAAAGCCACGGCUAACUACGUGCCAGCAGCCGCGGUAAUACGUAGGUGGCAAGCGUUGUCCGGAAUUAUUGGGCGUAAAGCGCGCGCAGGCGGUCCUUUAAGUCUGAUGUGAAAGCCCACGGCUCAACCCGUGGAGGGUCAUUGGAAACUGGGGGACUUGAGUGCAGAAGAGGAAAGCGGAAUUCCACGUGUAGCGGUGAAAUGCGUAGAGAUGUGGAGGAACACCAGUGGCGAAGGCGGCUUUCUGGUCUGUAACUGACGCUGAGGCGCGAAAGCGUGGGGAGCAAACAGGAUUAGAUACCCUGGUAGUCCACGCCGUAAACGAUGAGUGCUAAGUGUUAGGGGGUUUCCGCCCCUUAGUGCUGCAGCUAACGCAUUAAGCACUCCGCCUGGGGAGUACGGCCGCAAGGCUGAAACUCAAAGGAAUUGACGGGGGCCCGCACAAGCGGUGGAGCAUGGUGGUUUAAUUCGAAGCAACGCGAAGAACCUUAC
RNAcentral lists this ribosomal RNA (649 nucleotides) under bacterium HN1-E-07. RNAcentral's name for it is "bacterial SSU rRNA". It matches the Rfam family "Bacterial small subunit ribosomal RNA", at positions 338 to 974 of the family's 1533-position model. The record is from RNAcentral.